UGUGGCUCAGUGGUAGAGCACAUUCCUAGCACGUAUGCGGCUCUGGGUUCAAACACCAGCA
Molecule: transfer RNA, 61 nt
Filed under: Cavia porcellus (domestic guinea pig)
Lineage: Eukaryota; Metazoa; Chordata; Mammalia; Rodentia; Caviidae
Rfam family: tRNA
About the family: Transfer RNA (tRNA) molecules are approximately 80 nucleotides in length.
Source: Rfam by way of RNAcentral